AGAGUUUGAUCAUGGCUCAGAACGAACGCUAGCGACACGCUUAACACAUGCAAGUCGAACGGAAAUAUACUUCGGUAUGUUUUAGUGGCAAACGGGUGAGUAACGCGUAAGAAUUUGCCCUAAAGUGGGGGAUAGCUGUUGGAAACGACAAGUAAUACCGCAUACGCUCUACGGAGGAAAGAUUUAUCGCUUUAGGAGAAUCUUGCGUCAGAUUAGGUAGUUGGUGAGGUAACGGCUCACCAAGCCGAUGAUCUGUAGCUGGUCUGAGAGGAUGAUCAGCCACACUGGGACUGAGAUACGGCCCAGACUCCUACGGGAGGCAGCAGUGAGGAAUAUUGGGCAAUGGAGGAAACUCUGACCCAGCGAUGUCGCGUGAAUGAUGAAGGUCAAUAGAUUGUAAAGUUCUUUCACCUGUGAAGAUGAUGACUGUAACAGGAGAAGAAGCCCCGGCAAACUUCGUGCCAGCAGCCGCGGUAAUACGAAGGGGGCAAGUGUUGUUCGGAAUGAUUGGGCGUAAAGGGUGCGUAGGUGGUUUUUUAAGUGAAGUGUGAAAGUUUUAAACUCAAUUUAAAAAUUGCAUUUUAUACUGAAAAACUUGAGAAAGGUAGAGGAAACAGGAAUGUCUAGAGUAGAGGUGAAAUUUGUAGAUACUAGAUGGAACACCAAAGGCGAAAGCAAGUUUCUGGGCCUUUUCUGACACUAAGGCACGAAAGCGUGGGGAGCAAAUGGGAUUAGAUACCCCGGUAGUCCACGCCCUAAACGAUGAGUGCU
This 771-nucleotide ribosomal RNA is filed under the name uncultured bacterium. Its description in RNAcentral is "bacterial SSU rRNA". It matches the Rfam family "Bacterial small subunit ribosomal RNA", at positions 8 to 817 of the family's 1533-position model. The record is from RNAcentral.